RNAcentral lists this unclassified non-coding RNA (332 nucleotides) under Toxocara cati (cat roundworm). RNAcentral describes it as "partial ITS2". The record is from RNAcentral. Lineage: Eukaryota; Metazoa; Nematoda; Chromadorea; Rhabditida; Toxocaridae.
AUAUGGAGAAGUAAGAUCGUGGCACGCGUACGUAUGGAAUGUGCUUAACGCGUAAGCUUCUGGUGCAUUCUUUCGCAACGUGCAUUCGGUGAGCUACGCCGGUAAUCGAUGUUGUGUGAAAUUAUACCACGUACCUUGCCAAGACUAUGUAUGCACAAGAAAUCGCUGUCGUUUGCUCGUGAAGAGGCGAGAAUGGCCAUUGGCGUAUGUGUUCCUUCACGAUAUGGCCUCCAGCAAGCGUUGUUUGUUGUUGCUUGGCGGCAAAAUCUAGGUUGGAGGUAACGUCAUCGGCUGCUUGAAGAAGGAAUGCGCGCUGAAUGGUUGACAUCAAA